CGUCCCAAACUGCGCACAAUAGCGCGCCGGCUCCUCUAUCUAUUUUGUGUCCAGCCGGAGCCGCGCAGGAUGAUUCAUUGCCCCAAUUAGGGGCUCUCUCCAGCGCGCCUGGCUCGAGCCGUCUGAAGGGUCUCCUCCGGGACCCGCCGAGCCCAUCAGCGCUGGAGCUGGUCUUUAAGUAAAGGUCAAGCGGGACGCGGGAAGAGCCAGGCCUUGAAAAGCACCUACAGCCGCCGGUGCUCCGUGCCAGAGGAGCCCAGGAGCCGUGAGCACGGGACAUCUGGGUGCGGCUCAGAUUUGCAGCUAUCUGCAGGGUCGUCCCAGCCCACCCGCAGAAUGAAGCAAGCACUUCUCUGCUAUCCUCAGAAAGAGCUUGGAACCUGGCAGCCACUGGCAAAGAUGUAUCUUCCUUCGCGGAGGGAAGGAAUGUAACCGUUAACAAUAAAAAACAAAAAAUACCCUGGGAUUUGUGGAGGCCUUGGGCUUAUGAGCCAUUUCACAUCUGUUAGCUCAUGUGACAGUGAUACAUGGAGGCAUGACAGGGAGUAUCAUAUCCACUUUAGAGUUGGGGAAACUGAGGCUCCAACAUGCAGGGGCUUGCUCAAGGGGGCGGUUCCUGGAGCAAGAAAAAGCUGCCCGCUUGGGGGUGGGGGUGGAGGGGCUGGUGGAAUUUUGGUGCAUUUUGUACGCACUAAUUGUGCUAACUUGUUAAAUAGAAACGUUCCACAUAUACAGCACGUUUGGUGACCCUGCGGUAGCAUCCUGCUGCCUUUUAAACUAGGAGAUUCCUCGAGUGAAGGUGGGGGGCCUGAGAUGACCUAGGGAGAAAUAUUUUAUACACCUUAACGUGCCUCGUUUAAAAGUCACAGCUUGCAUUCCACCAUUAAGGGUCACUGCCUGGGGAACAAAUUUGCAAAUUGGCACAACAGAAUCGAGUGCCCUAAAACCUGGCCUUGCUCCCCUUAACCUGAAAAAAAAAUCCGGGAGAGAAAAACCCGGUCUCCCACUGCAGGAGUUACCAUCCCCCAGCCCAGGCCGCGCCAGCUUGAAAUCCGAGGAUUUUGCUGUGAACUUCAGGGCCUCGUAAAACCCCUUUGAUAAAUGAUCACCAGCGUUGACCUGCCACUGGGGACGACGGGACAAACCGGCCACAUAAAUCUUGAGGAUAUUCAAAGACUCCCUUGCUGCCGGCUUCUCAACAGACCCCUGAUUUGCAGCCCCGAAUCCACAGCAACUGUUCCUGUGGUCAGUUCCCGAGCUUCCAAGCCACGGAUGUUUCUGGAGAAGGUCGGGGCAUAGGUGGGUGGGGGGUGGAAGCAAAAGCAACGAAGUCAGGAACUGCCUUAAGGGUGCCUGGCGUGCAGUGGGCACUCAGUAAGAACCAGUUGGCAUCCCCCAGCUGGGAAUGGUAAUGGCUGUAUUUAUGUCUCCUGGAGGGUCACUAAAUGCCAGGUGCUGUGUUUGGUGCAGAUGGCAUUAUCUCAGUUCUCACAACGCCCUAAAAAGUAGGCACUAUUGUGACACGAUUUUACCAACGGGGACACUGAGGCUUGGAAGGGUGAACUCACGUCCCCAGGGUCACAGAGCUGGAUUCCUACCUAGGCGUCUGGCCCCAGCACCCCGCUCUAACUCGCCCUGCUGUGUGCUGCCAGGCCUGCCUCCCUGGUCCUCCCUAAUAAAGGUGGCCUUGUCCCUCGCUGGGGCCUGCCAGGGAGGCCAAUGGUCAGGGCUCGCUGCACGCCUCUGAGUCCUGCCCCCGGCUCCACCCAUGGCCGCCACCCUGAGUCCAGCUCUGCUGAGCUCUCAGGAGCUGGAUCCACCCCGUGGGCUGCGGCAGGUCCCCGUGGUGGCUAAGAGGAGGAAGUCAACAGCCACAGAUUCUUUCCAGCUGUUCCUCUGAGUCACUGAAGAAGUAUCACCUCCUUACAGAAAAGCGUGCCUCAUCACAUGCGUACGGUUUACUGAACUUUCACGAGCUGAACACAUCUGUGUCACCGGCACCCAGAAAGAAGGCGUGCGCAGCCCCCCAGAAGCCCCCCGUGGGCCCCGUUCCCGGCACCGCCCGGCCCCCCAGGGGAACGACUCGCAGCCAGGGCUCCAGGCAUCCUGACUUCUAGCCCCAGACUGUGUUAUUUCUUUAGCAGCUUUAUUGAGAUGUAAUUCACAUGCCACACAAUCCACCCAUUUAAAGUGUACGAUUCAA
This is a long non-coding RNA of Lemur catta (Ring-tailed lemur), 2203 nucleotides long. RefSeq lists it as uncharacterized. NCBI's taxonomy places the organism in Eukaryota, Metazoa, Chordata, Mammalia, Primates, Lemuridae. The record is from RefSeq and is a predicted model, not a curated record. The transcript is spliced from 4 exons.